GUCAGUGUUUUUAACGCAAAGGGUCCACCCGUUCCCAUUCCGAACACGGAAGUUAAGCUUUGCAGUGCCGAAAAUACUUGGCUGGCGACGGCCCGGAAAAAUAGGUCAAUGCUGACA
This 117-nucleotide ribosomal RNA is filed under the name Clostridia bacterium. The record is from RNAcentral. Lineage: Bacteria; Bacillati; Bacillota; Clostridia.